Molecule: ribosomal RNA, 123 nt
Filed under: Fukomys damarensis (Damara mole-rat)
Lineage: Eukaryota; Metazoa; Chordata; Mammalia; Rodentia; Bathyergidae
Source: RNAcentral
GCUAUACCCUACACCAUCCUGAACAUGCCUGACUCGUCUGAUCUGGGAAGCUAAGCAGGGUCGGGCCUGGUUAGUAUUUGGAUGGAAGAAGUAAUUCUUUUGGAAAAACAUAUGGACAGAGUU